Molecule: non-coding RNA, 87 nt
Organism: Rhodotorula diobovata
Lineage: Eukaryota; Fungi; Basidiomycota; Microbotryomycetes; Sporidiobolales; Sporidiobolaceae
Source: the annotation of a GenBank genome assembly
GCGGCGAUAGCUCAGUGGCAGAGCGGUCGACUGCAGUGCACAUGCGCUCACAUCGUCAGGUCACCAGUUCAAACCUGGUUCGUCGCU